UGGAGGGCAAGUCUGGUGCCAGCAGCCGCGGUAAUUCCAGCUCCAACAGCGUAUAUUUAAGUUGUUGCAGUUAAAAAGCUCGUAGUUGAAUUUCGGGAUUUGUCAGUUGGUCGGGCUUAACUGUCCGUAUUGACUUGAUGGAUUCUUACCUUCUGAAUAACCAGCAUGCUAUUAAUUUAGUGCGUUGGGGAAGCAGAUCUAUUACCUUGAAAAAAUUAGAGUGCUUAAAGCGAGCUAGUGCUUGAAUAGAUUAGCAUGGAAUAAUAAAAUAGGACGGCAUGGUUCUAUUUUGUUGGUUUCUAGGAUCACCGUAAUGAUUAAUAGGGAUAGUUGGGGGCAUUAGUAUUCAAUUGUCAGAGGUGAAAUUCUUGGAUUUAUUGAAGACUAACUUCUGCGAAAGCAUUUGCCAAGGAUGUUUUCAUUAAUCAAGAACGAAAGUUAGGGGAUCGAAGACGAUCAGAUACCGUCGUAGUCUUAACCAUAAACUAUGCCGACUAGGAAUCGGACGAUGUUAAUUUUAUAAUGACUCGUUCGGCACCUUACGGGAAAC
This 550-nucleotide ribosomal RNA is filed under the name uncultured Glomus. RNAcentral's name for it is "SSU rRNA". It matches the Rfam family "Eukaryotic small subunit ribosomal RNA", at positions 549 to 1098 of the family's 1831-position model. The record is from RNAcentral. Lineage: Eukaryota; Fungi; Glomeromycota; Glomeromycetes; Glomerales; Glomeraceae.